AACAUUUGCUGGCAAAAAUGUAUUCAGUCGAAUUCAGGAUAGAUGAUACAGAACUGCUGGGGCUAAUUGCUGUUGAGAUGGACACGGUCUCUGCCAGAAGCUGGAACAUAAGGUCAUGCAACCAUUGAUACGGAAAGAAAAUGUUACUCAAACCAUUGAUUUAAUACCUGUAACACAACCUCGCAUAAAUUGAGAAUCAGUAUAGCACAACUUUCUAUUAUUCCAGGUUGAAUCUUUAUGUAUCCAAAAGAACCUAAUGUGGAUACAGAGUUUCCAGAGUUUGGUAAUGUAUUUUUUUGUCAGAACUGAGCUUGCAAGCAAAAUCUCUCAGGAAGAAAAGCAAAACGUAAAAAACUUUACAGCAAUUUUUACAUGACACCUGGCAGAAAGAAAAGAAAGAUGAAAAGAAAAAGUAAAUUUCACAACCAAGAUGGAAGCAUAACUACACAUCACAAAGUAACCAUAAGCUGCAUACCGCAGUUGCUCCCAGUGCUCACCGCAACAAUGCAGCAAAGAAAGAUCAGGCUUCUCCAAGUGUUUUUAUAUCUCAUAUUCAUCUAUCAGCAUAUAUAACUGAGGCACCCUUAUAAACACCGAAGCAAAUCCUUCAUAUUCCUGUGUUACUGUCAUUUGCCCACAAUGAUUGUGGUGCAGAGAGUCAAACCAAAACCAAGAUAAAUUAUUUUGCUUAGGCGGCGUGACUCCUAAUUUCCUACAUGAUUCAACCAUGAACAACUAUUCUGUACAUUUCAAACCACAUAAAUAGACCUGGGACUGAAUAAUUGUUCUCCCAAUCUUAAAUCCUGGAACUACUGUGUACCCCACCUUCAUCCGGCUUUUAGCUGGCAAGGUGCAUCUUCUAGUUACAUCUUCCAUAUAUACCACUGAAAAAUCAACCCCUCUUUCCACCUGGAAAAUCUCAACAACAGGAUCAAAUGAAAACGCCAGCUUAUGAAGCGUCCACACUGCACUAGCCAUGUUAACAAAUGACUCAUAGAAUAUACUAAGUGAUCUCCAUGAAUUCAAAACAACUUCAUUUUGAUCCAAAUUGCUGAAAAUCGAUGAUUCCAUUGUUGUAUGAACAAGCUCUUGAUACUUCUUUUCACAAAAUCUUGAAAAUUCACAGUUAUGAUUCCUAUGUAGCAACUCCACCGGACUGCUAGACACAUGCUCAAGCAACUGCUUCAACGAACUGUGGGUCUUAUCAGAAUCAGAAAUAUGCCCAUUAGAAAGGAUUUCAGUAUCACCCUCAUCCAAACCAAAACUCUUUAAGUCAAAACCUCGAAACAUACCCAAACAAAAAUAUGAGAGAAAAGCGUAGCGAUUAUGCCCUGUUUUUGCAUAUUCAAUAUCAGCAUGAACUGAAUUCGCAGCCAAAUCUAAGUCCCAUCCAGCUUUUCUCAUUAAAUCUAUCAAAAUCUUCGUGAAUUUAUGCGUAGCUCUACAAGCAUCAUUUAUCAAAGAAUCGAGAACCCUAACAGACAACAAAACAUCACAAGAAGAAGGCAAAUUCAAAUUACCAGAUAAUCUCUUUGCUAACUUGGAAUUAGACUUUUGUAUGUCGCCCAAUUUCUUCCUUAAAGCCGAAAAUUCGUUAUCCUUUCGAUCAAUCUCUGCUUGUAAAUGGUCCGAAACAAUCCCCAGAACUCUCAGCUUGCUUUGAUUUUCCUGUACUUGAGCUUCCAAGCACGACUCAAUAGGCAAAGUUGCCCCGAAGUCGGGAUUCCUACACAAAUCCACAUAGAACUGCUUGAAAUCAGACAUACUCUGAAGAUGCGCAACCAGAGCUUCAUCCGCCGCCUUUAUACUGUCUUCAUUGAAAGGCACGUGGGCAAUCUGUAGCUGCAGAUACGAAGCUUCAAAUGAAGAAACUGUCGCAAAUAUAGAAGAAAUCAAAGUCUGAGCGGACUGAGCGCUUAAAGGCGUGAUAUGGGUGUGGUCCGUGGAAUUAUUUAUCCUCGAUUGGUGUGAUAAUUGUUGAGGUAUCCUCGAAGGAGUUGAAGAGCUCACUGAAUUCUGAUAGAGGGGUUGAUCGGGCUUGAGGAUAAUAACUUUCUGAUCGGGAAUGAAAUCUUCGGCGGAGUCGAGGAGGGAAAGACCGUCGACGUCGGAGGGGUCAUCGGCGGCGGUGUCAUCGGCGAAGAAUUCGAAAGUUUUGGUCUUGAAAGCGAGGGCAAACUUCUGGAACAUUUCAGAGAUGGGUGGGGCUUUGGGCGUAGUUGAGGUGGCAUCCAUAACUUGUGUCAUGAAAAAUUGAGGGAAUUUGCUAUCCUUUGUUGUUUUGGGUGGUUAAGAAUGGGAUUGAAUUCCAACUUUUGAUCAGAGAGUAAAAGGAAAGGAAAGAAAGGGAAAGGAAUGAAAAGAAAGAAAUGUUGAGGUGAAGUGUUACUUUUUCUUCUGGGUUGUGCUUUGGAUGUCUUGGAAGGAAGGUACUUCCCUGUGCGUGGGUUUCGCCUUCCGGCGCUGCUGCUACUGCGCUUCUUUCUUUUCUUGUUAUUUUAUUUUUUUAUUUUUAACU
This 2518-nucleotide unclassified non-coding RNA is filed under the name Hevea brasiliensis (rubber tree). The record is from RNAcentral. Lineage: Eukaryota; Viridiplantae; Streptophyta; Magnoliopsida; Malpighiales; Euphorbiaceae.